UUUUAUAUAGUUUAAAAAAAACACUACAUUUUCAUUGUAACGUCAGAUAUUUCCAUCUUAUAAAUA
Molecule: transfer RNA, 66 nt
Filed under: Trigonopterus ancora
Lineage: Eukaryota; Metazoa; Arthropoda; Insecta; Coleoptera; Curculionidae
Description: tRNA-Glu
Source: RNAcentral